Molecule: unclassified non-coding RNA, 317 nt
Filed under: Basidiomycota sp.
Lineage: Eukaryota; Fungi; Basidiomycota
Description: partial contains small subunit ribosomal RNA, internal transcribed spacer 1, and 5.8S ribosomal RNA
Rfam family: Eukaryotic small subunit ribosomal RNA (bases 1-47)
Source: RNAcentral
AAAGUCGUAACAAGGUUUCCGUAGGUGAACCUGCGGAAGGAUCAUUAACACGCUUUGAUUGCAUUUAUAUACAAAUAACCAACGUGAACAUUUCUCCUCCCUUAGAGAAUAUUUUAUUCUCUAAGGCUAACUGUUGAACAACAUUUUUAACGUCUUCAACUUAACUUGGGAUGCGUUGUGCUUAACAGCCGCGUACACCACUGAACUAAUGAGAGAUUUAUUUGUGCCUUUAGUUGCAUCAAGUAAAUGAUUUCUUGAAUUUAUUAAUUUACGAAACACAUAUUGAACAACUCUUAACAAUGGAUAUCUUGGUUCUC